AAGCCACCUAAAUGAAACUGUUACAAAUGGGAAUUAUGCAUGUGAAAUAGGCUCAAAUUUCUUUUAGCAAAUUUCCCAUCCUUUGGAUUCACCUGAUGUUUGAGCUCAUGCAGUCCUGAAGAAAAUCCAGCUCGGAGUGAAAUUUAGGAGGGCAGAACAAAGCAGUCAAAUCCAAGUGAUGAGAGCUGUCAAUAGAUCUGCCAUGGGAUAAAAUUGGCAGGUUCUGCUUGGCUCUAGUCACAGGUGGAACAUAAUUUGAUGGCUUU
This 266-nucleotide long non-coding RNA is filed under the name Homo sapiens (human). RNAcentral describes it as "long non-coding RNA NONHSAT194175". Lineage: Eukaryota; Metazoa; Chordata; Mammalia; Primates; Hominidae. The record is from RNAcentral.